AAUCAGUUAUGGUUCCUUAGAUCGUUCAUACUACAUGGAUAACUGUGGUAAUUCUAGAGCUAAUACAUGCAAAAAGCUCCGACCGUAUGGGAAGAGCGCUUUUAUUAGACCAAAACCAAUGGGGUCGCAAGACUCCUUUGUAUGGUGACUCUGGAUAACUUUGUGCUGAUCGCAUGGCCUAGAGCCGGCGACGUAUCUUUCAAGUGUCUGCCCUAUCAACUUUCGAUGGUAAGCGAUUUGCCUACCAUGGUUGUAACGGGUAACGGGGAAUCAGGGUUCGAUUCCGGAGAGGGAGCAUGAGAAAUGGCUACCACAUCUACGGAAGGCAGCAGGCGCGCAAAUUACCCACUCCUAGAACGGGGAGGUAGUGACGAAAAAUAACAAUACCGGACUCAAUGAGGCUCGGUAAUUGAAAUGAGUACAGUUUAAAACCCUUAACGAGGAUCUAUUGGAGGGCAAGUCUGGUGCCAGCAGCCGCGGUAAUUCCAGCUCCAAUAGCGUAUAUUAAAGUUGUUGCAGUUAAAAAGCUCGUAGUUGGAUCUCGGGUACUAGCAUGUGGUACGCUUAAUUGCUGUUACUACAUGUCUGGUCCUAAUCAACCGGUUGGCCGUUGAUGUCCUUUAUUGGGUGUUUUCGGUAGCCGGUACGUUUACUUUGAGAAAAUUAGAGUGCUUAAAGCAGGCCUUACGCCUGAAUAAUGUUGCAUGGAAUAAUAGAAUAGGACCUCGGUUCUAUUUUGUUGGUUUUGUAGAGCAUUGAGGUAAUGAUUAAUAGGGACAGACGGGGGCAUUCGUAUUGCGGUG
This 803-nucleotide ribosomal RNA is filed under the name Brachionus quadridentatus brevispinus. RNAcentral's name for it is "SSU rRNA". It matches the Rfam family "Eukaryotic small subunit ribosomal RNA", at positions 104 to 904 of the family's 1831-position model. Lineage: Eukaryota; Metazoa; Rotifera; Eurotatoria; Ploima; Brachionidae. The record is from RNAcentral.